RNAcentral lists this ribosomal RNA (505 nucleotides) under uncultured bacterium. RNAcentral describes it as "partial 16S ribosomal RNA". It matches the Rfam family "Bacterial small subunit ribosomal RNA", at positions 28 to 507 of the family's 1533-position model. The record is from RNAcentral.
GACGAACGCUGGCGGCGUGCCUAAUACAUGCAAGUAGGACGCACAGUCUAUACCGUAGCUUGCUACACCAUAGGCUGUGAGUUGCGAACGGGUGAGUAACGCGUAGGUAACCUGCCUAUUAGAGGGGGAUAACUAUUGGAAACGAUAGCUAAUACCGCAUAACAGUAUGUAACACAUGUUAGAUGCUUGAAAGAUGCAAUUGCAUCGCUAGUAGAUGGACCUGCGUUGUAUUAGCUAGUAGGUAGGGUAAUGGCCUACCUAGGCGACGAUACAUAGCCGACCUGAGAGGGUGAUCGGCCACACUGGGACUGAGACACGGCCCAGACUCCUACGGGAGGCAGCAGUAGGGAAUCUUCGGCAAUGGGGGGAACCCUGACCGAGCAACGCCGCGUGAGUGAAGAAGGUUUUCGGAUCGUAAAGCUCUGUUGUUAAGGAAGAACGAGUGUGAGAAUGGAAAGUUCAUACUGUGACGGUACUUAACCAGAAAGGGACGGCUAGCUACGUG